RNAcentral lists this ribosomal RNA (464 nucleotides) under Vreelandella stevensii. RNAcentral's name for it is "partial 16S ribosomal RNA". It matches the Rfam family "Bacterial small subunit ribosomal RNA", at positions 338 to 795 of the family's 1533-position model. The record is from RNAcentral. Lineage: Bacteria; Pseudomonadati; Pseudomonadota; Gammaproteobacteria; Oceanospirillales; Halomonadaceae.
CCUGCGGUGGCAGCAGUGGGGAAUAUUGGACAAUGGGCGAAAGCCUGAUCCAGCCAUGCCGCGUGUGUGAAGAAGGCCUUCGGGUUGUAAAGCACUUUCAGUGGGGAAGAAAGCCUUGGGGCUAAUACCCUCGAGGAAGGACAUCACCCACAGAAGAAGCACCGGCUAACUCCGUGCCAGCAGCCGCGGUAAUACGGAGGGUGCGAGCGUUAAUCGGAAUUACUGGGCGUAAAGCGCGCGUAGGCGGUCUGAUAAGCCGGUUGUGAAAGCCCCGGGCUCAACCUGGGAACGGCAUCCGGAACUGUCAGGCUAGAGUGCAGGAGAGGAAGGUAGAAUUCCCGGUGUAGCGGUGAAAUGCGUAGAGAUCGGGAGGAAUACCAGUGGCGAAGGCGGCCUUCUGGACUGACACUGACGCUGAGGUGCGAAAGCGUGGGUAGCAAACAGGAUUAGAUACCCUAGUAGUC